This 445-nucleotide ribosomal RNA is filed under the name uncultured Anaerolineaceae bacterium. RNAcentral describes it as "bacterial SSU rRNA". It matches the Rfam family "Bacterial small subunit ribosomal RNA", at positions 923 to 1382 of the family's 1533-position model. The record is from RNAcentral. Lineage: Bacteria; Bacillati; Chloroflexota; Anaerolineae; Anaerolineales; Anaerolineaceae.
GCACAAGCAGCGGAGCGUGUGGUUUAAUUCGUUGCUACACGAAGAACCUUACUGGGUUUGACAUAUAGGUUGUAGGGAACUGAAAAGGGACCGACCCUUCGGGGAGCCUAUACAGGUGUUGCAUGGCUGUCGUCAGCUCGUGUCGUGAGAUGUUCGGUUAAGUCCGCUAACGAGCGCAACCCUCGUCGUAUGUUAUAUGUGUCAUACGAGACUGCCGGUAAAAAGCCGGAGGAAGGUGAGGAUGAUGUCAAGUCAGCAUGACCUUUAUAUCCAGGGCUACACACACGCUACAAUGGUCUGUACAAUGGGUAGCCAAGCCGCGAGGCGGAGCCAAUCCUGAAAGCAGGCCUCAGUUCAGAUUGCAGUCUGCAACUCGACUGCAUGAAGCCGGAGUUGCUAGUAACCGCAGGGCAGCAAUACUGCGGUGAAUACGUUCCCGGGUCUU